AUACCCCAUUAUACUUUACUGCAAUGUUGUUUAAACUAGAGUAAUAGUAGAUAUAAGCUUGAAAUUCAAAGAAUUUGGCGGUACUUUAAUCUGACUAGAGGAACCUGUUUUAUAAACGAUAUACCACGAAAAAUCUUACUUAUUUUAAAUAGUUUGUAUACCGUCAUUAUUAGAUAAUUUUUAGAGGAAAAAUUAUUUAAAUUAAUAAAAUUAAAUAUAUUAGAUCAAGGUGCAGCUUAUAAAUAAGAAUAAAUGGGUUACAAUAAGUUUACUUAGGUGAAUUUAAAAUUUAAAAAUUUAAUGAAGACGGAUUUAGUUGUAUUUUUAAUUUAACAAGUUAAUUAGAAAUUAGCUCUAGAGUGUGUACAUA
Molecule: ribosomal RNA, 370 nt
Filed under: Areopaguristes hewatti
Lineage: Eukaryota; Metazoa; Arthropoda; Malacostraca; Decapoda; Diogenidae
Description: partial small subunit ribosomal RNA
Source: RNAcentral